This is a long non-coding RNA of Chiloscyllium plagiosum (whitespotted bambooshark), 246 nucleotides long. RefSeq lists it as uncharacterized. The record is from RefSeq and is a predicted model, not a curated record. NCBI's taxonomy places the organism in Eukaryota, Metazoa, Chordata, Chondrichthyes, Orectolobiformes, Hemiscylliidae.
GACAAACGAUAAUGACUGCAUUCCAAAAGACUGUGAUCAUUGGCAGUGGAAUACUUUGGAACCAGAGGAUUUGGUCAGGUUCAAUGUAAAAUGUCCCAGGAAGUUAAACAACGUACUGCUUGAUAAGGGCAGGAGUGUUACACCAGUUACACACACACGAGAUGGGUGCUGUCAGGCAGUAGUGUGGGGGAAGAAAAAAGAAAAAAAAAGAAAAAGAAGAACAAGAAAAAAAAGGAGUGUCACUGC